Molecule: ribosomal RNA, 288 nt
Filed under: uncultured bacterium
Lineage: Bacteria
Description: partial 16S ribosomal RNA
Rfam family: Bacterial small subunit ribosomal RNA
Source: RNAcentral
AUGCCUUACACAUGCAAGUCGAACGGCAGCACGGGGGCAACCCUGGUGGCGAGUGGCGAACGGGUGAGUAAUACAUCGGAACGUGCCCCGUAGCGGGGGAUAACCAGUCGAAAGACUGGCUAAUACCGCAUACGCUCUACGGAGGAAAGCAGGGGAUCGCAAGACCUUGCACUAUGGGAGCGGCCGAUGCCCGAUUAGCUAGUUGGUGAGGUAAAGGCUCACCAAGGCGACGAUCGGUAGCUGGUCUGAGAGGACGACCAGCCACACUGGGACUGAGACACGGCCCAG